This 753-nucleotide ribosomal RNA is filed under the name Bacillus thuringiensis. RNAcentral describes it as "bacterial SSU rRNA". It matches the Rfam family "Bacterial small subunit ribosomal RNA", at positions 68 to 819 of the family's 1533-position model. The record is from RNAcentral. Lineage: Bacteria; Bacillati; Bacillota; Bacilli; Caryophanales; Bacillaceae.
UGGAUUGAGAGCUUGCUCUCAAGAAGUUAGCGGCGGACGGGUGAGUAACACGUGGGUAACCUGCCCAUAAGACUGGGAUAACUCCGGGAAACCGGGGCUAAUACCGGAUAACAUUUUGAACUGCAUGGUUCGAAAUUGAAAGGCGGCUUCGGCUGUCACUUAUGGAUGGACCCGCGUCGCAUUAGCUAGUUGGUGAGGUAACGGCUCACCAAGGCAACGAUGCGUAGCCGACCUGAGAGGGUGAUCGGCCACACUGGGACUGAGACACGGCCCAGACUCCUACGGGAGGCAGCAGUAGGGAAUCUUCCGCAAUGGACGAAAGUCUGACGGAGCAACGCCGCGUGAGUGAUGAAGGCUUUCGGGUCGUAAACUCUGUUGUUAGGGAAGAACAAGUGCUAGUUGAAUAAGCUGGCACCUUGACGGUACCUAACCAGAAAGCCACGGCUAACUACGUGCCAGCAGCCGCGGUAAUACGUAGGUGGCAAGCGUUAUCCGGAAUUAUUGGGCGUAAAGCGCGCGCAGGUGGUUUCUUAAGUCUGAUGUGAAAGCCCCGGCUCACCGUGGAGGUCAUUGGAAACUGGGAGACUUGAGUGCAGAAAGGAAAGUGGAUUCCAUGUGUAGCGGUGAAUGCGUAGAGAUAUGGAGGAACACCAGUGGCGAAGGCGACUUUCUGGUCUGUAACUGACCUGAGGCGCGAAGCGUGGGGAGCAACAGGAUAGAUACCUGGUAGUCCCGCCGUAACGAUGAUGCUAG